UACGGAGGGUGCAAGCGUUAUCCGGAUUCACUGGGUUUAAAGGGUGCGUAGGCGGACAGGUAAGUCAGUGGUGAAAUCUCUGGGCUUAACCCAGAAACUGCCCUUGAUACUAUUUGUCUUGAAUAUCCUGGAGGUAGGCGGAAUAUGUCAUGUAGCGGUGAAAUGCUUAGAUAUGACAUAGAACACCGAUAGCGAAGGCAGCUUACUACAUGGAGAUUGACGCUGAGGCACGAAAGCGUGGGGAGCAAACAGG
This 253-nucleotide ribosomal RNA is filed under the name uncultured bacterium. RNAcentral's name for it is "partial 16S ribosomal RNA". It matches the Rfam family "Bacterial small subunit ribosomal RNA", at positions 524 to 776 of the family's 1533-position model. The record is from RNAcentral.